RNAcentral lists this ribosomal RNA (269 nucleotides) under uncultured prokaryote. RNAcentral describes it as "partial 16S ribosomal RNA". It matches the Rfam family "Bacterial small subunit ribosomal RNA", at positions 524 to 792 of the family's 1533-position model. The record is from RNAcentral.
UACGGAGGAUCCGAGCGUUAUCCGGAUUUAUUGGGUUUAAAGGGUGCGCAGGCGGGAGAUUAAGUCGGCGGUGAAAUUUUGCAGCUCAACUGUAAAAGUGCCUUCGAAACUGGUUUCCUUGAGUGUAGAUGAAGUAGGCGGAAUUUGUGGUGUAGCGGUGAAAUGCAUAGAUAUCACGAGGAACUCCGAUUGCGCAGGCAGCUUACUAAACCAUAACUGACGCUCAACUGCGAAGGUGUGGGUAUCAAACAGGAUUAGAUACCCUGGUA